CCAGGCUGAGGUAGUAGGUUGUAUGGUUUAGAAUUUUGCCCUGGGAGUUAACUGUACAACCUUCUAGCUUUCCUUG
This is a non-coding RNA of Danio rerio (zebrafish), 76 nucleotides long. NCBI's taxonomy places the organism in Eukaryota, Metazoa, Chordata, Actinopteri, Cypriniformes, Danionidae. The record is from Rfam.